AACAAUCCUUGGGGAAUUUAAUUUCUAUUUGCCUUUGCAUCUUUGUAUUUUUUCCACACUAAUACAGGCCCCUUGAAUUCUUGUCCUGUUUGUUUUCAAUUCCUGCUGAGACAAUUUUGAAUAGUUUCUGAGAUCCUAUUAGAUUUUCAUUUUGGAUACAUCAUAGUUUUUAUUCGUGUUCUGCUUAGUGUUGUCAGUCAUCCUGAAGAUAUACCAGUUAAAAAGGCAGAUAUAACAUUCAUCAAGAGAUUAGCCCUGAGCUAACAUCUGCCGCCAACACUACUUUUUUGCUGAGGAAGACUGGCCCUGAGCUAACAUCCAUGCCCAUCUUCCUCUACUUUAUAUGUGAGACACCUGCCACAGCAUGGCUCCACAAGCAGUGCAGGUCUGCACCAGGGAUCUCAACCAGUGAACUCCGGGCCACCAAAGUGGAAUGUGCGAACUUAACCACUGUGCCACUGUGCUGGCCCUUCUUUAACAUUUCAUGUCUUUCUUUUUUCAAAAUGUUAUCUGGGGGAAGUAAUUAAAUAAUUAUUAAGUAAUCAUUAACUUUUGGUGCAUUAUAUAAUAAUGGCUCUUAUCUUGUAGCUAUGUUUUGACCUAAUUUAAU
RNAcentral lists this long non-coding RNA (610 nucleotides) under Equus caballus (horse). RNAcentral's name for it is "lncRNA (ENSECAG00000055279.1)". The record is from RNAcentral. Lineage: Eukaryota; Metazoa; Chordata; Mammalia; Perissodactyla; Equidae.